UCUCCCUUCCUCAUAUCAAUUUCUGUUACCUUUUGAACAGUUUGUUCUCACUUCACAAUAUCUAUUGUACAUUUUGGAUCUUACUUACUCUUUCAGCUUCUCACACUAGGGAGUCAAUA
Molecule: long non-coding RNA, 119 nt
Organism: Octodon degus (degu)
Lineage: Eukaryota; Metazoa; Chordata; Mammalia; Rodentia; Octodontidae
Exons: 3
Source: RefSeq, a predicted model, not a curated record